CCUACGGGAGGCAGCAGUGAGGAAUAUUGGUCAAUGGGCGCAAGCCUGAACCAGCCAAGUAGCGUGAGGGAUGACUGCCCUACGGGUUGUAAACUUCUUUUAUAAAGGAAUAAAGUGAGGCACGUGUGCCUUUUUGUAUGUACUUUAUGAAUAAGGAUCGGCUAACUCCGUGCCAGCAGCCGCGGUAAUACGGAGGAUCCGAGCGUUAUCCGGAUUGAUUGGGUUUAAAGGGAGCGUAGAUGGGUUGUUAAGUCAGUUGUGAAAGUUUGCGGCUCAACCGUAAAAUUGCAAUUGAUACUGGCAGCCUUGAGUACAGUAGAGGCAGGCGGAAUUCGUGGUGUAGCGGUGAAAUGCUUAGAUAUCACGAAGAACCCCGAUUGCGAAGGCAGCCUACUAAUCUGCCACUGACACUGAUGCUCGAAAGCGUGGGGAUCAAACAGGAUUAGAUACCCUGGUAGUC
This 460-nucleotide ribosomal RNA is filed under the name uncultured bacterium. RNAcentral describes it as "partial 16S ribosomal RNA". It matches the Rfam family "Bacterial small subunit ribosomal RNA", at positions 338 to 795 of the family's 1533-position model. The record is from RNAcentral.